CGAGCCUCUUUCGGCUUUGCAGUCUGUCCCGGUCCUUUGGAACGUGGCAAACGUGGAAGCCGAGAGGGUUCU
This is a microRNA precursor of Cercocebus atys (sooty mangabey), 72 nucleotides long. The record is from Ensembl. Lineage: Eukaryota; Metazoa; Chordata; Mammalia; Primates; Cercopithecidae.